GACGAACUUUGGCGGCGUGCUUAACACAUGCAAGUCGAACGGAAAGGCCCUGCUUUUGUGGGGUGCUCGAGUGGCGAACGGGUGAGUAACACGUGAGUAACCUGCCCUUGACUUUGGGAUAACUUCAGGAAACUGGGGCUAAUACCGGAUAGGAGCUCCUGCUGCAUGGUGGGGGUUGGAAAGUUUCGGCGGUUGGGGAUGGACUCGCGGCUUAUCAGCUUGUUGGUGGGGUAGUGGCUUACCAAGGCUUUGACGGGUAGCCGGCCUGAGAGGGUGACCGGCCACAUUGGGACUGAGAUACGGCCCAGACUCCUACGGGAGGCAGCAGUGGGGAAUAUUGCACAAUGGGCGGAAGCCUGAUGCAGCAACGCCGCGUGCGGGAUGACGGCCUUCGGGUUGUAAACCGCUUUCGCCUGUGACGAAGCGUGAGUGACGGUAAUGGGUAAAGAAGCACCGGCUAACUACGUGCCAGCAGCCGCGGUGAUACGUAGGGUGCGAGCGUUGUCCGGAUUUAUUGGGCGUAAAGGGCUCGUAGGUGGUUGAUCGCGUCGGAAGUGUAAUCUUGGGGCUUAACCCUGAGCGUGCUUUCGAUACGGGUUGACUUGAGGAAGGUAGGGGAGAAUGGAAUUCCUGGUGGAGCGGUGGAAUGCGCAGAUAUCAGGAGGAACACCAGUGGCGAAGGCGGUUCUCUGGGCCUUUCCUGACGCUGAGGAGCGAAAGCGUGGGGAGCGAACAGGCUUAGAUACCCUGGUAGUCCACGCUGUAAACGGUGGGUACUAGGUGUGGGGUCCAUUCCACGGGUUCCGUGCCGUAGCUAACGCUUUAAGUACCCCGCCUGGGGAGUACGGCCGCAAGGCUAAAACUCAAAGGAAUUGACGGGGCCCCGCACAAGCGGCGGAGCAUGCGGAUUAAUUCGAUGCAACGCGUAGAACCUUACCUGGGUUUGACAUGGAUCGGGAGUGCUCAGAGAUGGGUGUGCCUCUUUUGGGGUCGGUUCACAGGUGGUGCAUGCCUGUCGUCAGCUCGUGUCGUGAGAUGUUGGGUUAAGUCCCGCAACGAGCGCAACCCUUGUUCACUGUUGCCAGCACGUUAUGGUGGGGACUCAGUGGAGACCGCCGGGGUCAACUCGGAGGAAGGUGGGGAUGACGUCAAGUCAUCAUGCCCCUUAUGUCCAGGGCUUCACGCAUGCUACAAUGGCUGGUACAGAGAGUGGCGAGCCUGUGAGGGUGAGCGAAUCUCGGAAAGCCGGUCUCAGUUCGGAUUGGGGUCUGCAACUCGACCUCAUGAAGUCGGAGUCGCUAGUAAUCGCAGAACAGCAACGCUGCGGUGAAUACGUUCCCGGGGC
Molecule: ribosomal RNA, 1345 nt
Filed under: uncultured bacterium
Lineage: Bacteria
Description: partial 16S ribosomal RNA
Rfam family: Bacterial small subunit ribosomal RNA
Source: RNAcentral